AAGUGAUGAAGAUGAUACUGUUUGCAGCAGUUUUAUAACUCCUGGCUGAACUGGAGAUUAAACUUUAGGAAGAUGUUUCAAGAGUGAUUGGAGUUCUGAAGAGUGAUGACUCUGUUGCACCCCUUGCUAAAAAUGAAGCUGUUACAUGCAUGCUUUCUUCUGCUUGGAUGUACUUGCCAGCAUCUGCUGCUGUGAGAAGCUGAAGUCGCUGAUGGUGAGGCUAAAUUAAACCUCUCCAAUGAGUGUGUUGAGGGGGCAUAAAGCAACAUCUGCAAGGUGGCUUUGGGGUAAGAGUAACUGACCCUCAAGCUAAUGUCCCCUGCUUAGGGCUUUGUUGCCUUGGGAGCACAGCAGCUGCACAAAAAUGAGACUUGGAGACCCUGGUUUUCUUUGCAAUAUCCUUUAUUUACACUACAUAUGUAUUUUUGUAGGUAUGCUCCCCCUAAACCCCACCUGUGAGGACCAGUGGCUGCCUGCUGCUCUACACUUCUGAAUAUUAAGCAGCUUCCUAAAAGCAAUGAGGCUGUUAUGGCUGAACAGCUUCACCAUGUGCAGGCUGCACAGAUAUCCAGCAAAGAAAUCAAAGGAAUGAUGUCACCAGUAUGUCUUAUCUAAAAUUAAAUAUCUGUUUUAAGUCCACAGAUACAUAGAGACUUUGUAUUAGAAACAUAUACUGAGAGUUCAAACUCUGAGUCAUCUCAUAUAUAUUUCACUCAAGCCAAGGGAAUAGCAGUGAGAAUAGACCUGCAAAAGAGCAAUUCUCUAUUCUAGCAAGAUGAGGGAGAAAAAAUGUUCAGGGAAAAUACUAACCGGUUCACAAGCGAAAAAAUCUUGCCAAUGAAAUUGUGUCUCUAAUACGCUGUGCCUUUGCAGUAAAGUCAUGAUUUGCUGUGGAAAAUGCAGCAGAGAAUAAGUGGGCCAGCUUGUGCUCAUUAAUGGCAGAGACAGAGUAAGUGGCAUUUAAAACAAGUCCACUCCGAGGGAAAGUGAGAAUUGUUUAUUCUGAAGGCAUCAAAUGUUUGUUGUCACAAUUAGAUUUCAAGAGCAACUCGCAAUGCUUUGGGGUGCCGUUGUCCAGGCAGGGUUUAGCCAAGCUCUGGAUGUCCUGGAGCCGAGGGCUGCAUUUCUGCUGCUACUCUCCACUGUGUUACAAGGAUGUGCUGAUGGCCACUGCUGUGCCCUUUCUAGCACAUGCCACAAGUGUUCCAGCCCAGUCAUCAGGAGCUAAAGUGGGAGAUGUGAUGCUGGAAAUUAUUUGGCCCCACCUAAGGGGUAAAUUGUGCCAGGCUCUGUGUCAGCAGCUGUACUUGGGUGCAGUGAACAUCUGUGGUCAGGAGCACUUGUAAUAUCCCUCUACCUUUUGUCUCCUUAUUAUUGCUGUAAUGGGCCCUAUGUAGUCCCCAGUCCCGUGGUGGUUCAUCUUCCCUCAUUUGUCUCAGGCUGUUCUGCUGAUUUUCUUCCCAGCUGGGUAGGCUCAUGUGUUGGGGCUACACCUUAUCUCCUAAAUAGUUUUCUCCAAGGUAGAUAAAGAUGUUCCCUACUCUACAAAAAGGGCUUGUCUUCUCCUGUGAGCAAUUCCAGUCAUGAAGGAGUGGUGCACUGGGUUCUCCUGGAUUCUGGUGGUGCUGCCCAUACAGGAAGGCAUGGGGCAGGAGGAAGCACGGAGGCAUUUCUGGAGUCACAGUGGAAAAAAUGUUGCACUAGGCUGUUCUCCAGCUUUUACUGGAUUAUAGCCCAGACCUAAGACCCAACAGAUGCACUGUCAGGUAUGAAGUAUUGGCCCAAAAUUAGUGCUGGCUCUGUCAUGGGAACCAAUUCCCCUCUCUAAUGCACAGUUGUUGCAUUGCAUAAAAAUCAUUAUUACACAUUGUGAAAUCUAAUUACAUUAUUGCACACUGUGUAUACACUCUAAUAAAGGCAGUGGAAGCAAUAACACUGCUAGUAAUACACCAUUCCACUGAAAUUGCUAUUGCUGUCAAUUUUACAUUCAUUUUUUCUUGAUUUAACCUGAAGAGCAAGGCUCUCAGCCUGCUUGCUUUGGCAGGUAGAUGCUAAGUGUCAAGACUUUACAAGGGCUGCAGAACCCCACAGCUCCUAUUGCAGUAGGGAGCAUGUGAGGGAACUGCCGUGUCCUAACUCUGAUACCCAGUGGUGAGAGCAGUCCUUCCUGAGGGUUACAAUGCUGUCUUGAGAUGGGUCCAAAGCCAGCUGGGCUCAAUUUCCCUUGAAAGUGCCCCUUUUCCCCAUUGAUUGUAUAGCCUCGGGCACCUGUGCUCUUAGAUGUCUAAAACCAGAUGGAGUCCAAUGCCUCCACCUCUCUGUUCUGGUGUGUAUGAGGAAGAGGAGGAUAGAUGGUCCUUUAUCAUAAUUCAGAGAUAGAUAUUUGCCAGUAAUGAGCUGAGAGGGAUUAGGGCUCAAAAAGGUUUUCAGUUCUCUGCUCCCCCACCAUUAACUUCUCAUUGUAAAGCUUGUGUGAUGAAUAUGAACUUAUGCCAGCCUGCUGGUGUCUUGCAUUCUGCUCUCCUUGCAAAGCUGUCACACAAGCACUUUUUAGUAGUGGAAGAGAUGAAGAGGUGCUCCUUGAGGACCUUAACCUGAAGCAGUGCUCCUUAAGGGCCUCUUCAAGGAGGUAGGUGCAGUUACCAACCACUGCAAUACUGUUUUCAAUGUUCCCUGAACCCAUCAGCUGAAGAAAUCACAUUGGGAGUCAAGGAGAGAGUUGUAGGGGUUGUGUUCAUCUUCUGAACAUCCCUUCUUUUCAAGUGUGGCAAAUGAGCCCAGGGUUCAGCCUCUGAAGAAAGGAAAAGGAAAGACGUCAAACCACGGAUUGAGGAAAAGUAAGACUUUGUAUUUCUUUCCUAGACAGUUUCAGACACUGAAAGCUGCUGUUCCCAUCACAACCUCUUCUGAAGAAGAUAGCUUGAGCCUGCAGUGUUUCAGUGUGUCUUUACUUCUAAAUGAAAUGGGAUACCAGAAGCUGGUCCCCAAACAACAGCUAAGCAUUUACAGGAGAAAAAAUCUGGUACUGCUUGAGCCUCCUGUAAUGCCUUUUUGCCAGGCCAAAGGCUGUCCAGGGUCCUGUGCUGGAAGCCAAGCACAGUUGGGUCAUCGUUUUUCCUAAAGUGCCAAGGUUGGCCCCUGGCAUGGGGUGAGCAUAGUUUUGGCUUUUUCACAGUGUGGGCCUGUUUAACAUUGUCAAUGCAGCACUCCCUGAACCCAUGGGAUCCUCUCACUCCUACUCUGGCAUACCAAGGCAUCAAAUGCACCAUGUCAAGACCAAACUGCUCUGCUGACCCUCUCCCAUCCAAGGAGGAGUGUCCAUCCAUGUUUACCACUGAAUCAUCUUGUAAGUAAUUUGUUUAGUCUGCCCAAAAGUGUCCCAUGUAUUAGCCUAUUCCUGUCUGACUUUUUCCAAGAAAACCUGCAUGCAGACAUGCAAGUCUGUGGAGCAAUUGUGGAUCAAAAUGUAUAAUUUCCAUCACAAUGGUCUGACUAUAGAGGACCUCCCUCUCUUUAAUACUGCAAACCGUGUCUUACGGAUGUGGUGGAAAAACAUUCUAAGCAGUAGCCAGCAGGGUAUGAAGUGCAUUCUGGCUAUAGAUAUUACUUUUCUAGUUUUUCUGUGCUGCCAGAGGCCCUGCAUGGAGAAAGCUUUAAGGGAGCAGAGGCAAACAGAGAGAAGGUGCUGAGAUGAAGGAAAUUAUGGGGGACAUAGGGACAUAUAGGGAAGCAUUUAUCUUUACUGUAGGUAUCCCACCAGUUAUCAGACUGCAUCAGGUAAAAGAUGUGCAGGUAAGCUUUAAUUUAGUUUCAGCCACUGAUUUUUUUUUUUUAAUCACCAUGAGCUUGUAAUAAGUUAAUUAAAAAUCUCAGUAAAGUAUUCAACAGUCCUCCACUGGGAAGGUAUGCCUGAACUUAGCUGUGUCCACUUGGCCCCCUGAAUUCCUGUUCUGCAUAUGCAUUUCACAUUGAGGAUGCUGCCACUCUUUUUCUGUCUUGCUCCAGUCUCAGAAAUCACAGAUAUCCAUCUCUGGCAAUCCUUCCUUUGGGAAGUGUUUUUUUUCCCUUUUGGACAAAAGUCUGGAGAAAAGAGAAGUGACAAAAGCUAUAUAUGCAAAACCUAAGAGAACUGGGGAGGCAGUGAGGAGGGCAGUGACAGAUGAGGAAUAGGAGGAUAACACCAUAAGCAAUCCUGUCGCCCUUUCCUGUGGGGUAAGAAGGUCAAGCUUCCUCAGCAUACAGCUGAAUACUAGUUAUAACUGUCAAGUUUGUAUUGAACCUACCACCUGAUUUUUCCCUGUAGUAAAUUACUGUGGAAGGCAACAGUAUUUCUGCCUUUGUUGCAGCAUCAUGGCUAUCAGAUACAGAAGAGACAGAAGGGUUGCCUUGAUAAAGGCCUUUCCCUUGAUGCAGUGAUUUAUGAGCAGUGCUGGCUUUCCAGGCCCUGCUGUAGCAGAUACUGCCUGGUCUCAGUCUCCCCUGGCCUGGAACAGAGGUGUGAAUAUCAUUGUGGACAAACAGGGGCUUCCUGAGCCAGUUUAACUCCAUAAAUCAUCUGUGAUGUGUUGCAGUAGACAACAGCGGGCAGUCCAAGCUGACCAAGUCCAAGCAUGGAGGAUGUUAAACUGCUGGAGACUGGGAAUGGUCAGGUGACCUGGGGUGACAGCUUUGGUGUAUGACUGGUGUACAGCAGUAAUACUUUACAGACAGGUGCCUUUAUUUUUCUUUCUUUUUUGAUCACUUGCUAACUAAUCUUGCUCCACACUAAUGGGCAAUAAUGCACCGUUUGUGGAGAUGAACUGCUAAUGAACUAGACUGAAGGAUUUGUACAGACCAUAACUUUGCCAUAUGUCUUGUGCUCUUUGCCUUCUUCACCACCACAUCCUUUAGUGAUUGUAACCUUUUUCAUAUUAGUUUCUAGCCCUUUUUUUUUUUUUUUCUUUUACUGUAUAAUUCCAAUUAGAUUAGUCUCAUCCUGCAGGUGCAAUUCAACACUCAUAAAAAUCUCAAUAUCCUAGCAGUCCCAAAAUUCAAUGGCAUUCUUCACUAGGGUUCUGGUGUUGGGGAGCAGUGAUGCACCAAAACUUUGCAAAAUGUUCUAGCUGCCACGGAAUGCUGAAAUGUGGCGUGAGUGACAAUCCCCCUCUGUUUAUAUCUGUCAAAAUGUUGGGAGGAAAACAAGAAAAAUCUGGGCCCCAGGUAGAAACCUGAGCCUGUUGAGAAAUUAAUGAACUCUCACAGUUUGGAGACUUGCAGAUGCUGUUCUGUUGGGACCAUGCCGAGGUUGCCAUUAAAUCCCUUUGGAUAAGACCCAGUAAACAUCUGGUGACUUUUUUUUUUUAAAUAAAAGAACUGUAGUUGUUCUAGGCCUUGUUGUCUGCCCACGCUGGUAAUGUGCCUGUGAGUCUAAUUAGUUGACAAGUGACAAAAGAGGCCACUGUAGUGAAGGGGAGGCUGGGUGCCAGGAUUGUUAGAUAGGUUGGGCAAGAGCCACAAGAGCCAGCAGGUGAUGGAUGCAGGAAAGGUGUAUUAUCCCCUGAUUUGUUACAGAUGCAGGGACAUGAGGAAACGAGGCAAAUUGAUAAGCCAAAGGCUCAGCCUUUUGCUAUUCCUCUUAUGUAAAGUUGGAUCUGCAGUCGUCUGUGAGUAGGGUGGUUGGGUCCUGUAAUGGCUGGUCAGUGCUAAAAGAGCCCUGACCUUCUGGCUCUAUUAAGUACCUUUCAAUGCUUGUAGAAAUAAGAUGGAGGGGACUUGCACUUGAGUCUAGCAUGAGCAAGAUUAGUUAAAACUGAUGUACACUGAAGUAGCUGUAUUCUUGUUUGCUGUCAGUGGUAAAAUCCCCACUCACUGUCAGCAAAAGCUGAAUUCAUUCAAGGCAGAAGAGAGUCCCAUCUGCUCUUAUAAGUGAGUCUGUGGGACAGGACCAUUAGUUGGGCACUGUGAAAUCUGACUACCUGCUUUGCUUGUGCCUUCACCUGGAAUUGUUGCUAAUUGCUAAAUCGAUACAUUUAUCAUAUUUAUUGUUAUUAUCUAUAUAUGUGGAUAAAAUAUAUUAAAGAUUUUGCCUUUCCAGAUCUGGGGUGGACUGUUUCACCUGGUAACUAGCACCUUAUCAGUGUGAGGACUACAUUCUGACUAUCUGCACCAAAACUGGACUGGCAGUGCAGGGAUGCCCAGUGUUUGUGAAACUGUAGUCUCAGGUACCAUGUGCAAUUACUUCUGAGUCUGCUAGUCCCCGUGUUUUGGCUUUUUCAGUACUGCACCUAUGGCUGGGCUGAACUCCUAUUUGUUCCUUAGCUGGACACAUAUGGAUCUGGAAAAGUAUUUUUAAGUGUUUAAGCACUGCUUAGCACAUUACUCUAGCUUUUUUCCAAGGAAUUAGAUCCUCUUCAUUUGUCUUGGCUCCUCAAACAGUUCCCAUCAAAGGGGGAACAAGAUGAGUCAUAGGGACAGAGUAGUGGUGUGUUAUGGGAAUAUCUCUUGGUCUAUGUUUGCCAUCACCCAUGCUGAGAUUGCAAUACUUUUUCCAGGUGUUCUGGAGGAUUUGGGGGUCUCACAUCUGUUAGUGUCAUGCCUACACCAACAUCUGUCCCACCACUGCUAAACUUGCCAGACCGUGCUGCUGGAAGUGGAUUUGAUUUGUGCUGAAGUCACCUUGAAUCACAAUUACCAAUGGGAAGGAGUGGAUGCAUGUGAACAGUCAAGGAUAAAAUCGUGUAAAGGAGAUCACCAGAAGUGAAAGCAAGAUCACCAAAAUGUCUGCCAGCAAAUUCAAAGUCAUUAGCUAUGUUUAUUUCCCCAUAGAGCCAAUAUUCUCUUCCAUCUCCCCAUUGCUCCAUAGGGAGGAUGUGUCAUGGACAGUAAGGAAAACCCUACCAGGGACACCCACCCUAGAUAUUCCACUACCUCCCUCUUCUCCUGUAAAUCAGAAAUAACUCCUGUAGAUCAGAAAUAGUAAUAUACUAUUCAUAUAUAAUAAUAUAUCAUUAUAAAAUAAUAUAUUUCUGAUAUUUUUAUCAGAAAUAAAAAUCAAAAAGAACUCUCCAGGGUAGAAUUUUGUAAAUGAAAAAAGGAAAGGUUUCGCACUCAUUUUCUUCUGUCCAGGGCCCCAUGAAAUUAAUUUUUUUGUGUUUAGAUUGUGGCUAACCUUAAAACUGUGUUCAGUAUUAUAAAAUGUAUAAUAUAUAUUUCAAAAAUUGUAAUAUAUUACUUAUAAUAUGUAAAGAUAUCUAUAAUAUAUAUUUAUGUAUGCAAAUAUAUAUAUA
This 7265-nucleotide long non-coding RNA is filed under the name Taeniopygia guttata (zebra finch). RNAcentral's name for it is "lncRNA (ENSTGUG00000022470.1)". The record is from RNAcentral. Lineage: Eukaryota; Metazoa; Chordata; Aves; Passeriformes; Estrildidae.